This 608-nucleotide unclassified non-coding RNA is filed under the name Cirsium undulatum. RNAcentral describes it as "partial external transcribed spacer". Lineage: Eukaryota; Viridiplantae; Streptophyta; Magnoliopsida; Asterales; Asteraceae. The record is from RNAcentral.
ACUUACACCAUGCAUGGCUUAAUCUUUGAGACAAGCAUAUGACUACUGGCAGGAUCAACCAGGUAGCAUUCCUCUUCAACGCAGCCCGCCACGCAAGGACAAGCCAACACGUGACGAACGAUCGUUUUGGAGAAGCUGAGAACGCUUAAAUAGGGCAAAUGCAGGAUCCCGAAAGACCCAUGCCCACAUCAGGUUCCGUAUACAUGAGACCAAGCGAUGCUUCAAGGGCCACAUCGUCAAUGCAAAAGCACCAACAAGGUGGACCACAAAGCCUGCUUCAAGGUUCAUCCCACGCCGCAUGAGCGACGCAUGACGAAAAAGGACGUCCAUAAAGCCACACGUUACCGUCGAGUAGGUAUGCAACACAGGAAACCCACAAGCUGCUCAAGGCAAAACAAGCCUUGUCGCUAAAAUGAAGAGGUAAGCACGCKUGGACGUUGCUGCGCGAGCAGACAGCCAACCACCCGUAACAAACCAAACACCACUCAUGCACCUUUACGGUCAACAUCCCCGAAAGUCGGCCGACCAGUAGCGACCCGCAAAGCACCAAGGCCAAGCAAGCANACCAAAAGCCNUCCGACCCCCAGAAUGCACCGAACNAUACGAAA